This is an RNA transcript of Acanthaster planci (crown-of-thorns starfish), 3151 nucleotides long. RefSeq lists it as uncharacterized. Lineage: Eukaryota; Metazoa; Echinodermata; Asteroidea; Valvatida; Acanthasteridae. The record is from RefSeq and is a predicted model, not a curated record.
CGUACAUGUACACCCACAUAUGUACACUGAGUUCAUCAAAGCGUCGAAGAUGGUGAUCUCUGUUCCAUAACUUUAAAGUGCAGUGUAAUCAAUUUUGAACACAACAUUGCGUUGGCCUAAAUUGAAAGAACAAGUUGUACAGCAUGUCUACAUGUACACCUCACUAUCUGUGCACAUCGAGAUGACCAACCUAGCAAAAUAGCAGCAAAUCUUAAUGAUCAAAGCAUGGAGAACCUAAAACAUUCACCUUUGGCCAAAACAGUUGCAGUACAGCUACGACCGCAUGGACUGCGGACUGAACAAUUUGGGCCGAACUGUUCGUUGGUUAGUUUACCUGCAGAUGAAAGUUGUCAGGAGACAGGUCAGAAGACAGGAACAGACUGGUGUGGACCCCACAAUCCCCUGACUAGAGGCACCACCGAAGCAGCAAACACCAUGGGAGGUCAUAGGAGAAAGCAAACUUUGGUGCCCAGUGUGAACCCUUAAAUGGUACCUUGAGAGAACUAAAGACAUCAGAGGCUCCAUUUCUCAACUGCAGGUGACCACUACCCAUCUCUACCAUCCAUCUAUCAGACACUGUUGCCAGGGCUUUCCACACUUGGACGUAAACUCUGGUUGCCAGGAAGGAUGCGGAAUCAAGUUUGAACUGCCCCUCUUACUGCUGCUGUGAGCUGGAUUUCCAUCUCAGCUGGCAUGUAUCCACAUGACAUUAUAGGUAUUGAUGAUUGAUACCAGACUGACUAAAGACCAAGAGGGCACUGUAAGAAGAAACCAUCAAAUGGAGCCAGACCAUCUUUAAGCAGCUGAACUUUGAUUGAUGCUGAGGAUAACAGAUGUCGACUCGAGGAUGAUGUUAAGUCUCAUUGACUCUUUUGAUGUUGAUGCUGCUGCUGCUGCUUAUGGUGCCAUUUCUGCUGAUGCUGAAAAUGAUGGUGAUGAUGAAAUGAUGCUGACAUAAUUUUGAUGCUGCUGUGAGUGAUGCUGAUUUAUUGCAGUGGCUGCUGCAAGCUACCUCUGAUUAUGCUGUGCCGUUAAUACAGGCUGAUGCGUGAAGGUGAUGAGAUAUGCUGAUACUGCCGAGUGUGGAGAUGAUAUGUUGGUUAUGGUGAUGGCCAUGGCUACCAAAGUGUGGUGCAAUUGCUAAGUGGGACAAUGAGAUGACGAAUUAGAUCAAGAGUGACUGGGACAUUGGAAAGGAGUACAAGACUGUUGGCCAAAAAUAACCUUUUGGCGCCUCCCAUAGAAAUACAGUUCUUUUAUCGCUGAUGUUUCUGUUACUUUAUUAUAGGGGAAAAAAAUAUGGAACGCUUCACGAUUUUGCGUGUCAUCCUUGCGCAGGGGCCAUGCUAAUCUUCUCUGUAUCGUUCCAAUUUUAGUAUAUGUGCAGCCGGAGCUAGCACAAUUAAGGUGUUAAUCACCCUGUAAUUUAUCUGCCACAAAUUAGACUACGUUUUAGAUCACGGUACCGUAUGAUAAGAUACGUAAAAUUGUACAUAUCAGCCUUUAACUGUUGUAUUCAACAUUAUACAUUCGAGAUUUAUAUUUUGUGUUGAAGACAUUGAUUUUCACUACUAUAAGAUCAAAAUGCUAAAAGAAAAUCAUACAUUCUGCCUUCAGAACAGGAAUAUUUGUUCAGCAUUAAACACUACCGUUAACAACAAAAGGCUAUUAUGGUACGCAUGCGCGCUCGCACGGCGUAGCCUUUUUGAGGUGCCGUGGGUACUCAUCCGUCCAGUUACCUAAUAAUACAACGACACCAUACCCAGCAUUGCCGGGAACAAUGUUGAAUUCGAACUACGUGAAAAAUCGAUGAAAAAGCUUUAAGAAGCAAAAAGACUGUGUGCGUUGUUAAAGGAAGUCAGAUCAAGGUUUUAAAAAGCGAAAAGACUAUGUACGUUGUCAAAUGAAGCCAGAGCAAAGUACCACGCAUGCGUGGAGUGAACCAUUAUUGCACAGGGGUUCAAUUUAUUUUCAUGAUAUGCGUUACCGUUUUCACCAAGAGGCAGACAUGUAAAAAGUAGCAUUUUCUCGAUUUCGAUUACAUUCAUGUUACAGGCCACAAUCUCGUUAAGUGCAUUUUGUGUUUCACGAAGAGACAAAUGUUACUGCCCCUCGUAAACGAACAGAACGUAUUGACUGGAAGGGCAGAAAAGUAGGUCAAAUAAGAUUUUCGUUUUCACGAAGAGCCACACAUCUUGUUAUAUACAGUGGUUACUUUUCCCCGUUCCCUAUGGAAAAUUACAUUACACAGAUGAGCCAAAAAGUAGGAAAACAUGGAUUUUCGAUUUCACGAUCAGACGCGCAUCUUGAUAAUUGAUUUCGGCUAAUUAACCUUUGUGUUCAUUUUAAUUAGCUGGUUCAGGCAAAAGUUUACCUCAGAAAAUCAUUGAGUUUUUUUAUUGCAUUAAGUUGUGCUAUAUCGGUACUUUUGCAUUUUUGAAAUAGAAGAAGCUUCUAGGGCGAUUUCUAGAAAACCAGCUUUUCUUGAAAAUGUACGUGUGGCUUCAAGAAAACGGUUACUUGAACGGUAGGCCGAUAUAACGUUUUGCAAAGCGUCGUUGAGUAGAUGGAUAUUGUACACCACGUUCCAACACCUUUUGCCGCAAUUUCACUUCGUACUGUAGCGUGAACUAUCGGGGCUCUUGCCCUGAAAGACUGGCGAUGAUUUUGACAACCCCGGCCGUCAGCCCUGCUUGUACGUGCGUGGCGAAAACACUGCACGGUAUGUUGCGCAAUACCCUUCGCUGCAGCAGGUUUGCUUUUAACACGGACGGUACAUUGCACUCGGGCCGUUAUGCUUUGUGAGUGACCUUGAAGCAGUUGCGGCACUCUCACCUUGCUCACGUGCGUGCCUUGCCCUGCCUGGUCCUUAAACUGCCUUGGACAAGGCUGCCCUAUUUACGCACAGCCGAAGAAUUCCAGCCAUAAAAUUCCAUGAUGCCAUUUUUCGAUUGUAAAAAAAUCCUCAUUCUCUCCCAUAGGGAUUUGAAACAAUGCGGUUGCAACAAUGAAAAAAGAAGAAGAGAUAGCAGUACCGAAGAAUAAAAAAAGGGAACGUAUUCAGAAGCACAUGGAAACAAAUACAAGCAAUGUAAGUGCGUUGCGCGUAAUGCGCACUGAACGCGCUGCCAUCCACCGUUUAGCCCACCGU